This 308-nucleotide long non-coding RNA is filed under the name Marmota monax (woodchuck). The record is from RNAcentral. Lineage: Eukaryota; Metazoa; Chordata; Mammalia; Rodentia; Sciuridae.
CUUUCAACUGGCAAUCCUCCUGCCUCAGCUUCCCAAGUUGCUGGGAUUACAAAAAUGUGCCACCACACCUGGCACUAAUCAUGUCUUCUAAACUGUUCUCAGCCCCUGCCAAGACCCCGAUCUCCUACGAUAUCCCCUUGCCCGUGUCCAGGGUAGGCAAAGGAUGAGGAAUAACAGAUUCUCUCCCAGGCAUUUUUCAAAGUUGUCUCUGUUCCAUUUCUAACCCCAGUCCCAGGAAAAUCCCCAGCUGCAAAGCUGGCCCCUCCCAUGUCCUCGGCCCACCCCUCACUAACCUGCCUUUGUCUAUU